CAAAAUAUUGUCAAUUCAAUAUGUAACCAAUGUCAAAAAUUAUUAAUGAGAUCAUUUACAUGCUUUUGCUCAUACCAAGUCUUCGAGAUCCAGGGUCAGGGCUGCAUUCGCAGCUCAUCUCAAUUUGGACCAGCUGCAUUUCACACGCUUGCUGGUCUGUGUGGCUCGUGGUCACCACGUUGGAUGCGCUACUGGGCCCUGAAGGGCCACCUUGGCUUGGCAGGGGACGAGACACUGACUUGGCCCGUAACCCUGUGGUUGAGUUGGAGGUGCUUCCUACCACGGUGGCUGCUGCCCGUUUGGCUCCAGGAGACAUGAAAUCAGUGCUUGUCAAAGGCUGGCUCAGAGAUCAUCCGCUUUAGCAUCUCCUGGGCAGCUGCUUAAACAAAACCCCAGAUUCCUGGGCCCUACCCCACCGGAAUCCCUGGGAGUCAGGAAUCUGCAUUUUCAAUAGGCUCCUCAAGUGGUUUUGGGGUCUGGCCUCCCCUCUCCUUUCCAGGGCAGAGAAUGCAUUGCUUUGGAGUUCACAAUGGCACAUCUUCCUUUUCUCUCGCGUCUCCUUUUGGAUGAAUUGUCUGGAACAAGAGUGAGUAUUAGAAUUAUGAGGCAGUCAUGGCUCAGUUGCCAAUUUCCCGUCUUUUCCUUAGAUUCCCUUCACCUGGGGUUUAAGCUUGGCCGUGGUCCGUCACUUCCUCCAACAGCAAUGUUCUCCCCAGACACGGACGUGGUGUAGGCACACACCACAUUUCCCACAGCACCUGAGGAGGCCAAGCUUCUCUCCAGCAGAACACCAGCCACGUCCACGCGUGUUCCAAUCCUGGACCCCGGGGAUGUCCCCUCACCCUGCCCUUACUCCCCGACCCGGGGGAGCCAGAUGGAGGAUUUUCUACUUAUCUAGUCCCCUCUCUGAUUUCUCUUUCCCCUCCAUAGAACUCUCUGCCAUAAAAGCAUUUGUGGGUGCAGGCAGAAGGACAAGAGCUGGAUGUGCUAUAAAGGCAAAGCUGAUAGAAAUCAAGACAUUUCAUAUUUAAAAAUAGUGGCUCCAUAUUCAGGACGUCGUGGGUCUUUGAUAUGAUAUGUUAAGCUAUUUAUCCGCAAAGGACUCUAAGUACAGUAUGUUUUCUAUUUCUUCCAACACCCUGAGGGGGUGCCACUAUAGUUCAUAUUACAGAGGAGGAAAGUGAAGCGCAGAGAGGUUUAGUAACUUGCUCAAGGUCAUACAGCAAGCAAGUAGUGGAAACAGGCCUAGAGCCCACAGAGAUGGGAGAGAAAAGAACAAUGAGCCGAGUCGUGAAACAGGGGUCCUAUUGCACUCCCAUUUGAAACUACUAAUCAUUGGCUUAGCAUAAACCUUUUAUUUUUUCUGAACUUCAUUUCUUUCCUUGAAAGCGUGAUAGUUGAGCUAAACGAACUUGAUCGUCUCCUUUUUGAAUAUUCACUUCCCCACUUGUAGGUCGGGUUUCCUGGAAAAUGGACUUCAGAACCCUGAGCUUUUCAUGCAAAGUAUUUAUUGGGGAGCACUCUUGAACAAAACCCGGCAAGGAUGAGAGAAGCAAGUCCAGGCUGCAAGUAUCCUCAGCAUCCCACAGAAAGAGGAUCAUUUUCUAAAUGGGCCAUGAUGUGACAAAAGUAGGGAAGCGCCCAUCGAGGUGAAUAACAUGGCUCAGUUCCUUCCUUUCUGACUGCACCCAGAGUCCUCAAGGAAAGAGCGCAGUGUUACCUGGGAAUCCAUCCCCGCAGACACGUGUCAUGCACCGCAUAAUGAUGUUGUGGUCAAUGAUAGACUACAUAUAUGACGGUGGUCCCAAGAUUAUAACGGAACUGAAAAAUUCCUAUUGCCUAAUGACACGGUAACAGUCUUAACUACGUCACAUAGCUGAAGAAGAGGCAAGAGAAAAGAAAACUGCAGGAGAAGAAAAAGAAGAACCCCAAGAAAAUUCAUAUUGAAGGGUUUAGCUGAAGCUCUUACUGACUUCAACAGGCUUCUUAAAAAGUUUGAAAACAUGGAUCCCAACACCGAAAGAUUUUCAUUGAUAGAGGAAUGUUCAUGGUGCGUUAUCCGCUUACGAGCAAAUCUAUGACGAAAAAAGAAACAAACCACGCAAACCACCAGGGACAUAUUUCUGAAAAGAGUGACACCUCCUCAAGAGGAGCCUCGGGCAGGCCCUUCAGGAGGUAUUCCAGAAGAAGGCACUGUUGUCAUAGGAGAUGACAACUCUGUGUGUUAUUGCUUCUGAAGACCUUCCAGUGGGACAAGAUGUGGAGGUGGAAGACACUGAUAUUGGUGAUCCUGACCCUGUGUAGGCCUAGGCUAGCAUGUUGAAGAUCCUUUUCCUCUCUGCUGGCCAACCUGUGAGUAUACGACAACAGCACCACUUUCUUUGUGUUCCUCGCAUGGCAAAGAGGCCUAACCAGAGAGGGGCAGAGGAGCGGCUGUGUCAAGAUUCCUGUUCCACUGUCUCCAGAUAUCCCCC
Molecule: long non-coding RNA, 2474 nt
Filed under: Equus caballus (horse)
Lineage: Eukaryota; Metazoa; Chordata; Mammalia; Perissodactyla; Equidae
Description: lncRNA (ENSECAG00000050963.1)
Source: RNAcentral